RNAcentral lists this ribosomal RNA (216 nucleotides) under Campeiostachys nutans. RNAcentral's name for it is "Elymus nutans partial small subunit ribosomal RNA". The stretch from base 40 to 216 matches the Rfam family "Eukaryotic small subunit ribosomal RNA", at positions 686 to 864 of the family's 1831-position model. The record is from RNAcentral. Lineage: Eukaryota; Viridiplantae; Streptophyta; Magnoliopsida; Poales; Poaceae.
GGGUUAGUAGGUUGGUCAUGCCUCUGGUAUGUACUGGUCUCACUGAUUCCUCCUUCCUGAUGAACCUUAAUGCCAUUAAUUUGGUGCGUUAGGGAUCUAGGACUGUUACUUUGAAAAAAUUAGAGUGUUUAAAGCAGGCUCACGCUUGAAUACAUUAGCAUGGAAUAAUGAAAUAGGACGUUUGAUUCUAUUUUGUUGGUUUCUAGGAUCGACGUA